UACAUAGGGUGCGAGCGUUGUUCGGAAUUAUUGGGCGUAAAGGGCGCGUAGGCGGUGCGGUAAGUCACCUGUGAAAUCUCCUGGCUCAACUGGGAGCUUGCAGGCGAAACUGCCGUGCUGGAGUGUGGGAGAGGUGCGUGGAAUUCCUGGUGUAGCGGUGAAAUGCGUAGAUAUCAGGAGGAACACCUGUGGCGAAAGCGGCGCACUGGACCACAACUGACGCUGAGGCGCGAAAGCUAGGGGAGCAAACGGG
This 253-nucleotide ribosomal RNA is filed under the name uncultured bacterium. Its description in RNAcentral is "partial 16S ribosomal RNA". It matches the Rfam family "Bacterial small subunit ribosomal RNA", at positions 524 to 776 of the family's 1533-position model. The record is from RNAcentral.